UACGUAGGGUGCAAGCGUUAAUCGGAAUUACUGGGCGUAAAGCGUGCGCAGGCGGCUUUGCAAGACAGAUGUGAAAUCCCCGGGCUUAACCUGGGAACUGCAUUUGUGACUGCAUGGCUGGAGUGCGGCAGUGGGGGAUGGAAUUCCGCGUGUAGCAGUGAAAUGCGUAGAUAUGCGGAGGAACACCGAUGGCGAAGGCAAUCCCCUGGGCCUGCACUGACGCUCAUGCACGAAAGCGUGGGGAGCAAACAGG
This 253-nucleotide ribosomal RNA is filed under the name uncultured bacterium. RNAcentral's name for it is "partial 16S ribosomal RNA". It matches the Rfam family "Bacterial small subunit ribosomal RNA", at positions 524 to 776 of the family's 1533-position model. The record is from RNAcentral.